This 318-nucleotide ribosomal RNA is filed under the name uncultured eukaryote. RNAcentral describes it as "partial 18S ribosomal RNA". It matches the Rfam family "Eukaryotic small subunit ribosomal RNA", at positions 1470 to 1796 of the family's 1831-position model. The record is from RNAcentral.
CCCUUAGAUGAUUUGGGCUGCACGCGCGCUACACUGACCCUAACAAUGAGCAACUGUCUGGCCUGAGAUGGCUGGGUAGCCUUUUCAACCCAUGUCAUGAUUGGGCUAGAUUUUUGUAAGUCUUGAUCUCUAACGAGGAAUCCCUAGUAUGCGUGAAUCAUCAAUCCAUGCAGAUUAUGUCCCUGCCCUUUGUACACACCGCCCGUCGCUCCUACUGAUUGGGUGAUCCGGUGAGCUGUUCGGCCAUAGCAAUGUUUCUUGAGCAGGCAAUGAAUGUUUCGCAAACCUUGCCACUUAGAGGAAGGAGAAGUCGUAACA